ACCCAGUGGAGAGACAUUCACAUGCCUUAUUUCUUGGUCAGCCCCAGAGCCUGAAAAGGUGAACCUGUUGGUGCAAAACAAAUAAUAAUAACAGGAAAUAUAUUCCAGAAGAAACUGUCUGAGGGUU
Jaculus jaculus (lesser Egyptian jerboa) is the source of this 127-nucleotide small nucleolar RNA. Its record names the gene SNORD22. It matches the Rfam family "Small nucleolar RNA SNORD22". Rfam says of the family: U22 is a member of the C/D class of snoRNA which contain the C (UGAUGA) and D (CUGA) box motifs. U22 is encoded within the U22 snoRNA host gene (UHG) in mammals and has also been identified in Xenopus. U22 is thought to as a 2'-O-ribose methylation guide for ribosomal RNA. Lineage: Eukaryota; Metazoa; Chordata; Mammalia; Rodentia; Dipodidae. The record is from Ensembl.